Molecule: ribosomal RNA, 445 nt
Filed under: uncultured bacterium
Lineage: Bacteria
Description: bacterial SSU rRNA
Rfam family: Bacterial small subunit ribosomal RNA
Source: RNAcentral
UCCAGACUCCUACGGGAGGCAGCAGUGGGGAAUAUUGCACAAUGGGGGAAACCCUGAUGCAGCAACGCCGCGUGAGUGAAGAAGUAUUUCGGUAUGUAAAGCUCUAUCAGCAGGGAAGAAGAUGACGGUACCUGACCAAGAAGCCCCGGCUAACUACGUGCCAGCAGCCGCGGUAAUACGGAGGAUGCGAGCGUUAUCCGGAUUUAUUGGGUUUAAAGGGUGCGCAGGCGGAAGAUCAAGUCAGCGGUAAAAUGGAGAGGCUCAACCUCUGCGAGCCGUUGAAACUGGUUUUCUUGAGUGAGCGAGAAGUAUGCGGAAUGCGUGGUGUAGCGGUGAAAUGCAUAGAUAUCACGCAGAACCCCGAUUGCGAAGGCAGCCUUCCGGCGCCCUACUGACGCUGAGGCACGAAAGUGCGGGGAUCGAACAGGAUUAGAUACCCUAGUAA